RNAcentral lists this ribosomal RNA (334 nucleotides) under uncultured eukaryote. RNAcentral's name for it is "partial 18S ribosomal RNA". It matches the Rfam family "Eukaryotic small subunit ribosomal RNA", at positions 1470 to 1796 of the family's 1831-position model. The record is from RNAcentral.
CCCUUAGAUGUCCGGGGCCGCACGCGCGCUACACUGAAGGAAUCAGCGUGACUUUCUCCCUGACCCGAAAGGGUUGGGAAACCCGUUGAAUCUCCUUCGUGAUAGGGAUUGGGGCUUGAAAUUGUUCCCCAUGAACGAGGAAUUCCCAGUAAGCGCGAGUCAUAAGCUCGCGUUGAUUACGUCCCUGCCCUUUGUACACACCGCCCGUCGCUACUACCGAUUGAACGGUUUAGUGAGGGCCUCGGAUUGGUCUCGGCCCGCUCUUUACCGAGCGGCGCCGUUGGUCGAGAAGACGCUCGAACUUGAUCGUUUAGAGGAAGUAAAAGUCGUAACA